GGCUCCUUUUGGCCCCGGCCGGGCAGAGCCUGCCUGUGGCCAGGGCGGGGCGAGGCGCUCAGGCCCAGGGCUCUGCCCGCCGUCUCCGCGGAGCAGCGCGCAGGGCCGGCGCUAGCUGGGUGCCUAGGAGAUGGGUCAGGUGCCCGCUGGGCCGGGCGGCGGGGCGCGUCACCCCUGCCGCUUCCAUGUCUGCAGGAGAGGCGCUUUGCUAACGCGCCCCUGGGAGCCUCACGGAGCGGGGCUGCAGGCGAGGAGCCCUGCAAGCCCCACGAGUCCCUCACCCCAGCCAUUACGUAGCUUGUAUGAGCAGCCUGUGGGGGAACUGUGAAGCGGCCCUAAGGUGCUCAACACCUAGGGUGACCAGACAUCAAGAGUGAAAAAUCAGGACAGGGUAGAGAUGAUCCUGGAUACAGGAGAAGCCCUAGCACGUCCUUGUUUUCUCCCCUGAACACACCUCCCUCUGAUGAGCUACUGGAGAUUAGGAUGAUAGAGCAGGAAGGUAAGUGGUAAUACUCCCCUUUCUGCCCUCUUCUGAGCAUCCCUCCCCAAGCCACCUGUUCUCUAAGCAAUGCACAUAUAUAAAUGGAAGUUGAGUUCUUGAGGAGUAUACUCAAGCUAACAUUAGUUCAGUUUUUUUAAGUGAGUUAGCUGUAACUGUUGUAUCAUGUAACUUCAGUAGAAUGUGCUUUCUGUGCACAUUCUUGUGAACCAAGUGUUUGGCAGGAAUGUGUCACAGCACCUAUUACCAACUACUUAGUUGAAAUUGUAUUUUUAAUUCACAAGCAUAUAUUCACCCUGAAAGCCAGAUUCUAAGGAGUCAUGUUCAUUCAAUCAGGUAAACAUACCAUGCCCAAGUAUCGGUAGCAGAUGGUGAUAAUAUAAGAUGGAAUAGAAUCUGCAGGUUGCUCAUUAUAGCAUUUGCUCUGCAAGGCUAUUAGAAGUAAGAGUUUGGAAAUGGUACAUAUUACUUAAAUUAGCUUUUUAUAAGGCACCUUCCUGAAAAACAGCAAUAAAUAAGUGCUUUAAAGAACAGCAGUCAAAGAGCAGAAGUGCUGUUAUUUUGGGAAUGUAAAGACUUCUGCCUGGCCCCUGGACAUUUUGAAAAUUCAAAGCUGCAGAUUAGGGAAAUCCUUCACAGAUGUCACUCUUAUUUGAUGGUUUAAAUCUCUUUGGACUCUGACUGUAUCCAUUAGCUUUUUAUUGUUCUUUUAACCGGUAAAAAGCACAGUUGUCCAAAAGACAGUAUUUGUUCAUUCAGCACAUAAUGGAUUUACAUUAGCAAGUGUAUCUUUAUAGUUCUACAAGAUACAAGUAUUUUCUCUGUUUGGAAAUGGGAAAGUGAGGGACAGAACAGGCAUUACUUGGCCAAGGUCAAACAGGGAAUCUAGUAGAGCAAGGAAUUGAACCCAGAUUUCUGAAGUGCAGUUCAGUCCCUAAACCAUAAUUCUUCCUGUUUGUCACCCUUUACAUGCCACCCAUGGACCAUGAGAGCUGGUGCUGUUCUCAACAAAAGUCCCCGGAAAGCAAGACUCUCUCCUUGGGUUGAAAAAUCUAAGACACCCUCUUGUGAAAUUGGAGGGCUUUUGUGCUCAAACUCCCUCAGAACGGUGCUAAUAGUUGUGCUGGAGCAAAAACAAUUGGUCAGCAACAAAAACAGCAAAACCAUCUAUGCAGCAAGUUUAUAAAGCAGGGUGGAUGAAUUGUGAUUUAAUGAUAAUUUUUGUAUUUUACUUUUAAAAAAAUGGUAACCAUUAAAAUGUAUUGGAUUUACAACUAAA
Molecule: long non-coding RNA, 1778 nt
Organism: Mauremys reevesii (Reeves's turtle)
Lineage: Eukaryota; Metazoa; Chordata; Testudines; Geoemydidae
Exons: 2
Source: RefSeq, a predicted model, not a curated record